AUGUCUUAUUUUUUUCCAAAUGAUAAUGUCAAAACUAAUGAGAUUCUCCAUCCACAGCAACCCCUUCCCAGAUCCUUGCUGAGUGAAGUGACUAAACUCCAUCUCUCCCACCCAUCUGGUUGGAAGCCGAAAGCCAGAAGCCCCAUGUCCCCAGCAGCAGCAGAAGCAAAGCAAUGUGUCCAGAGCAUGGAUGCUGAUACCAGACUACCUGGGUUCAAAUCACUGCUCAGUCAUCUGCUGUGUGACUUGGGAUAAGUAAGCCUUUCUGUGCUUCAGUGUCUUCAUUUGUAGAAUGCAGCUCAUGGAGUCUAGUCUAAAAUCAUAGGGUAGCUGUGAAGAUUACACGAGUGAAUAUGUAUCAAGAGCUUCUGACAGUGCUUGAGUAACCAUCUAGUAAGACUUUAUGAGGUGGGGUAAGGAAAGAUAAAGAAAUGGAGAUUCAGGAAAGUGAGUGCAGGAGCUGCCAUCCUGGCUCUGUGUGGCUGAUUCCAAAGCCCCUGUAUGAGGAUCCACAGUGGAAACUAUCCUGAGCUUUUACCAACAACCAAAUGGAGCUGAGAAGAUGUAUCUGCUUCUGCUUCUGCGAAUCUCUGCCUCUGAACCUCCCAGCUGCACCUGCCCUCUCCAUUCCCCCAGCUGACGCAGAAAGAGAACAAUGGCAUCUUUGGGUGCUAUCCUCCCUGCAAGUUGGCCCUCACUGUCAUCAACCCUAAUGGUUGUGCUGCUCUAUCUCUCUAUGCUCCUCCAGAAACUCCCCCAAAUCCCUCUAGUGUCUUUGCUCCAAGGGGGGAUUCUAGGGCCUUCAAGAACAGCAGACAAGUAGGAGUGUUACUGAAAAGAAGGUGCUGCAAAGGAGUCAGCAAAGAGUGUGCUCUUGCUGGCACCCUGGGGAAGAUGUCUGGGUGGAGGGAUUCGUCUGGACCUCACAUGAGUGCCUCUUCCUUCUGGCAUCCCUUGAUGGUCCUUGAGUAUCAUGCCCACAUGUUCUGAUUCUGUAUACAAUCCAGGAGCAGGAUGUCUUUGCUGUAAAAACCUUGAACAACUGAGGGAGGUUUUAACGAUUUAAUAGGUAUCUCAGGUUGCUUCAACCCUGGCUUCUUGCCCUGACAGCAGCUUCUGGGUGAGUCUGAGGUUCAUUCAAUCUGUAAAGUGCUUUAUAUACAGCACUUCAAGGAAGGGAGAGGUGUUCCCCAGGGAAAGAGUAGGAGACUGUGGUGAGCUGUGGCAUCCUUUGCUAUAGAUACCUAGAAACAAUCUUGCUGGUCUCAGGCCAACUCUGCACCUUCUAACCCCCCACUCCCCUCCCCCCAGGGACUGGUGGUCCUGUUCCCUGCUUCUGGCACCAUCUAUUGCUCCAUUUCCCAUAAACCCUGGAGAAUAGAUUGCGUUCCUCCCUCCCCCUGAAGAACUUAGCCUUUAGGAGAGUUUCUUUCUUUCUUUUUAAAUUUUUAAUUUAAAUUCAAUUUGCCAACAUAUUGUAUAACACCCAGUGCUCAUCCCAUCAAAUGCCUUCCUUAGUGCCUGUUGCCCAGUCUCCCCAUCCCCCCACCCUUUAGGGGAGUUUUUUCUUUUUUUUUUUUUUUUAAGAUUUUAUUUAUUUAUUCAUAGAGACACAGAGAGAGAGAGGCAGAGACACAGGCAGAGGGAGAAGCAGGCUCCAUGCAGGGAGCCCGAUGUGGGACUCAAUCCCAGGUCUCCAGGAUCACGCCCUGGGCUGACGGUGGCACUAAACCGCUAAGCCCCUGGGGCUGCCCUUUAGGGGAGUUUCUAAGGGGGUUGAGUGUAACUAGCCAUCAGAAAGCAACAGUAAGUACAGUUUUCAGAAAUAAAGGGAAACUUUUAGUGUUUCAAGACACUUAAAUGAUGCACUGGAAACAAAAGUCUUGCAUUAGGAUUUAAAUUCAAUUCCUUAAGUGGCUUUUUGCAUUUUUUCCAUCUCAUGUUAAUCUGACUACAACCUUAUCUUCUCUGUCCACUUCUAAGAAGUCUUCUGUGCAGAGUGGAAGGAUGAAGCCCAUGCCUGCUUGGCGUGGGACAGGCUCACCAGCUUCAUCUCUCUGGAUAUCUCUUGCAGCUGAUGGGAUGAGGCAAGCCUCUCAAGAGACG
Molecule: long non-coding RNA, 2106 nt
Filed under: Canis lupus familiaris (dog)
Lineage: Eukaryota; Metazoa; Chordata; Mammalia; Carnivora; Canidae
Description: lncRNA (ENSCAFG00000051229.1)
Source: RNAcentral